AAAAAUUCAAAAAAUUUGACAAUACUGUUUUAAUACAUAUAUGAAUCAUGUAAUAAUAUAUGAUGAAGUUCAAAGAGGUUUGGAGCCUUUGUUGUCUCCGUUUCUCUAGGGAAUAGCAGUUUUAUAGUGGUUAGUCCAAUUAUUUAGGGAGUAUUUGCAGUUUUGCUAAAUUAAUGGAUAAAAAUGUAGAACGAUGUCCAUGUACCAUGAAAAGAAGAUUAUCA
This 224-nucleotide long non-coding RNA is filed under the name Brassica napus (rape). RNAcentral's name for it is "long non-coding RNA (BNAP_LNC026619)". Lineage: Eukaryota; Viridiplantae; Streptophyta; Magnoliopsida; Brassicales; Brassicaceae. The record is from RNAcentral.